GGGUCAGUAGGUUGGUCGUGCCACCGGUACGUACUGGUCUCACUGAUUCCUCCUUCCUGAAGAACCGUAAUGCCAUUAAUUUGGUGUUCCGGGGAAACAGGACUGUUACUUUGAAAAAAUUAGAGUGUUUAAAGCAAGCUAACGCUUGAAUACAUUAGCAUGGAAUAAUGAAAUAGGACGAUCGAUCCUAUUUUGUUGGCUUCUAGGAUUGACGUA
Molecule: ribosomal RNA, 216 nt
Filed under: Glomeromycotina sp.
Lineage: Eukaryota; Fungi; Glomeromycota
Description: partial small subunit ribosomal RNA
Rfam family: Eukaryotic small subunit ribosomal RNA (bases 40-216)
Source: RNAcentral